Molecule: ribosomal RNA, 484 nt
Filed under: uncultured bacterium
Lineage: Bacteria
Description: partial 16S ribosomal RNA
Rfam family: Bacterial small subunit ribosomal RNA
Source: RNAcentral
AUUGAACGCUGGCGGCAGGCCUAACACAUGCAAGUCGAGCGGAUGAAGGGAGCUUGCUCCUGGAUUCAGCGGCGGACGGGUGAGUAAUGCCUAGGAAUCUGCCUGGUAGUGGGGGAUAACGUCCGGAAACGGGCGCUAAUACCGCAUACGUCCUGAGGGAGAAAGUGGGGGAUCUUCGGACCUCACGCUAUCAGAUGAGCCUAGGUCGGAUUAGCUAGUUGGUGGGGUAAAGGCCUACCAAGGCGACGAUCCGUAACUGGUCUGAGAGGGUGAUCAGUCAACACGGAAACUGAGAACGGGCCCGGCUCCUACGGGGGGGCAGAGGUGGGAAAUAUUGGCAAUUGGGGGAAGGCUUGAUCAAGCCAGGCGGGGGGGGUGAAGAAGGCCUUCGGAUGGUAAAGCCCUUUAAGUGGGGAGAAAGGGAAGUAAGUUAAUACCUGGCUGUUUGACGGUUACCAAAAAAAUAGGCACGGGUAACUUCGGG